RNAcentral lists this transfer RNA (66 nucleotides) under Vibrio metoecus. It matches the Rfam family "tRNA". Rfam says of the family: Transfer RNA (tRNA) molecules are approximately 80 nucleotides in length. Lineage: Bacteria; Pseudomonadati; Pseudomonadota; Gammaproteobacteria; Vibrionales; Vibrionaceae. The record is from RNAcentral.
GCUAUAGCUCAGUUGGUAGAGCCCCGGAUUGUGAUUCCGGUUGUCGUGGGUUCGAGUCCCAUUAGC